RNAcentral lists this long non-coding RNA (386 nucleotides) under Anas platyrhynchos platyrhynchos (common mallard). RNAcentral describes it as "lncRNA (ENSAPLG00000017441.1)". Lineage: Eukaryota; Metazoa; Chordata; Aves; Anseriformes; Anatidae. The record is from RNAcentral.
AAAUGGACUUACAUUUGACUGAGGAAAGUGGAAGAGCAGUAAUAUCAAUGUGGAAACGGACAAAGUCGGUGUGAUCAUAGCUGUUAGGAGAUCCUAGUCCAACUCAGUCAGGGUCUACUGGUGCUACCCUGGCGCUGGACAACACUGGUGCUGUCUCACUGCCCUUGAACAUCUACAUGCUCACAACAUCCAUACCACAUACCAGAUUCUCUACCUUGAAAAUCAGGGUGUGUUUGUAUUUAUGUGGACACUUACAUGACUGCAUCAUCCCUUGGUGGCUGCAAGGAAAUUUGAGCCCCAGGCACCUUAUCCAGAGUCCUUCCUGGGCUGGGCUAUAGAGGAAUGGUUGUACCCACAGCAGAAGGAAAGCAAAGGGUCCAAACAGC